Molecule: long non-coding RNA, 503 nt
Organism: Oncorhynchus tshawytscha (Chinook salmon)
Lineage: Eukaryota; Metazoa; Chordata; Actinopteri; Salmoniformes; Salmonidae
Source: Ensembl
GGAGGCUAUAUACAGGGGGUACCGGUACAGAGUCAAUGUGGAGGCUAUAUACAGGGGGUACCGGUACAGAGUCAAUGUGGAGGCUAUAUACAGGGGGUACCGGUACAGAGUCAAUGUGGAGGCUAUAUACAGGGAGUACCGGUACAGAGUUAAUGUGGAGGCUAUAUACAGGGAGUACUGGUACAGAGUCAAUGUGGAGGCUAUAUACAGGGGGUACCGGUACAGAGUCAAUGUGGAGGCUAUAUACAGGGGGUACUGGUACAGAGUCAAUGUGGAGGCUAUAUACAGGGGUACCAGUACAGAGUCAAUGUGGAGGCUAUAUACAUGGGGUACCAGUACAGAGUCAAUGUGGAGGCUAUAUACAGGGGGUACCGGUACAGAGUCAAUGUGGAGGCUAUAUACAGGAGGUACUGGUACAGAGUCAAUGUGGAGGCUAUAUACAGGGGGUACCGGUACAGAGUCAAUGUGGAGGCUAUAUACAGGGGGUACCGGUACAGAGUCAA